RNAcentral lists this transfer RNA (71 nucleotides) under Echinocardium cordatum (sea potato). Its description in RNAcentral is "transfer RNA-Pro". It matches the Rfam family "tRNA". From Rfam's summary of the family: Transfer RNA (tRNA) molecules are approximately 80 nucleotides in length. Their secondary structure includes four short double-helical elements and three loops (D, anti-codon, and T loops). The record is from RNAcentral. Lineage: Eukaryota; Metazoa; Echinodermata; Echinoidea; Spatangoida; Loveniidae.
CAGAAGAUAGUUUAACCAUAGAAUUCUGGCUUUGGGGGCCAGCGGUAUAAGUGUGACUCUUAUUCUUCUGA